Molecule: long non-coding RNA, 5937 nt
Filed under: Gossypium barbadense (sea-island cotton)
Lineage: Eukaryota; Viridiplantae; Streptophyta; Magnoliopsida; Malvales; Malvaceae
Description: long non-coding RNA (GBAR_LNC013110)
Source: RNAcentral
CCAAAUCUAUUAACCCUCAAAUCCCAAACUAUCAAAUAGAUUAUUGCCCCAUAAAUAAACCAAAUCCAACAAAUUGAACUUUAAACCUACUAUUUAAAUUCCCCAAUUUGGAAUUACUCAAAUUAGCUAAAACAACACAAAAAUUCCUCAUUGAUCAACCCUACAACAAACAAAUUAUAGCUCAAAUAAACAAAACCAUAGAUUAAUUUUUCUUAGAAGGCGAAAAUUUUGAAAAAAAGAAGAAGAAAAGUGUACCUCCACGAUCGACCAGAACAUAGGUAGGAAGAGAACCAGGCUUGGAUAUAACCGAAAUCCCAAAGUCAUCAAAACCUUUACAAGCUUUUCGGUUUUCUUCAGGGUAAACCACAACACCAGCCAUGCUUCCACCACAUUGAGGUAUCCCAAAGUUCCCAAUCGCACUAUCAUGGGUUGCUUUAAUCUUCUCCGGCGAUGUUACCGCCAAGCUCUUCUUUUCCACCACGAAUCUCGCGUAACAAUUGCGUAUCAAAGAUAAUAAAAUAAACACUUGAGGAAGAUGAUGAUGAUGGAAUGUUCGUAGCUCCAUAUCUUUACUUUUGGUUUUGGAUUUGGAUUGGAUCAGUUUUAAGGACGAUACUGAUGAAGAAGAUGAAGAUCGUGUAUGAAAAACAUGUAAAAUGAAAUGGUUUUUUUGAAAAAAAUAAAAACAGUGAAAAUCGCCAUUAAAUAAUUCUAUGAUUCUUUUAUUUGUUUUAAAUGAAUUUAGAACACAGUUAGUGAAAUUUUGACACGCUACUAAUAAAUAAUCUUAGUCAUUUAUAGAUUAAACAUUUUUCUUUUUUUUAAACAGUGCAAUGAGACCAAAUCCAGUCAUCUGAAGUAAACUUAAUGGGUUUAUGUUUUUCUUAGCCCCUAAAUUUUCACCUACCGUUUAAUUUAGUACAUGUUAAAAAAAAUCCAAUUUAGUCAUUUGUAUUAUACGUGACGGUCUUCUACAUAUACGAAGUCGUUUAAGUUUCGUUCCGGUGAAGAUUUCAAUAUGCUUAGCAUGUUCCAAAGUCCUUUGGCCCAUUCUAGCCAGUAUCGGCCCGUAUCAAUUGGUACAAAAUUUUGAUAUUUAAACUUAUCUUUUAAUUUUUUAUCUUAAACAUUUUAACUUUUUAUAACUACGUUUAAAAUUAAAAUAAACUGAAGCUAUUGAACCAAUUAAUAGAUUUAAAACUUAUUUUUACAUAUAGAUAGAUGUAAUUGAAAUAUAUCAAGAAAUUUUUCGAUGCAUUUAGCACAUAAAAUCCUCCAAAAAAUAAGGAAAACAGUUAAAUAAUAUAACAUGAAGGAUUCAACAAAAACAACCAACAAGGAACAUCACAUUAUUCUUGGAUAACGGCAAUAAUUGUAUCAUUACUGAUUAUCAUCAGUUCUUCAUGGCGCAUCUCUCUAUGCAGGUAUUGACGCAGCCGACAACUUCCUUUGAAGCUGACAAAAACAAAACAAAUCAUUAAGUUAAUAUACGUACUUACUUACCAUCAAAUAUUAAUAUAAAACGGAAAAAGAAAAAUUACCAGGCAUCCUCCCUUGGCUGCUUAGCAUUGAACAUGUCAUGGCAGCACACCCAACAGUGCAGAAUACGGAGCUGCUCGCGAGGUGGGUUUCCUCCAAUGUCUCCACCAGUGCUUCUGACGGCAGGCAGCGUUGAAUACAUUCCCCAAGGGAAGUUCCGUUGGCGACGCAAGUCGUUACGCAAAAAGUAUACCCAAGUCCAAUCGGGACAAGUGCUGUAACAGCUUGACGCGAGGGACUAACAAGGAUCAACAACAGCAAACAGAACAUCAACGCCAAUGAUUUCCCCCCCAUUAUGUAUAUAUUUGAUUUGAUUUGAUAAUGAUUUUUUUGCACUGCUUGAUAUCGGUGUUAUAUACACUUUGAUUGUCAUGCCAAACUACCAAACUGCCUAAUUAAGAUGCCAAACUAUAAUGCCAAAAUUUGAUUGAAUGCAAAAUUAAAAGAACAUUUCUAUAAGUAAUCAAAAUAAUUUGAAAUGAAUUUGUCAUGCCAAACUACAUGGAAAAUGUCUAAUGUCUUGUCCUUUUUUUAGAAUUCUUCCUAAUAAUCUAAAUUCUUCCUAACCAUCCCAAAUAUUCUGAUUGUCAAUGUUCUUUCUCAGAUGUCAUGAAUCACAAAUGAACACUAAACCUUUAACUUCAUAUUUUAAACAUUAACAUCGAAGUAAACACUUAAACCGUGCAAAUAAAAUCUUGAUUCUCACCUUCACAGUGACUGUAUCCAUCUCCUUUGAUUUGCUCGCUAUCAACCAAGAGACAUUCACAAACUCUUCCUCGAAAUGUAUCUUAAGAAGAAAAUCAAUAUAUUCAAAUAAGCUCAUGGAGUAGAGAAUCCCUAUCAAAUCUGUUUCGAUUCAUACCCUGCAGGCUGUGAGAUUUGCUGCUUUUUCUUGCCAACAACCACCAUCAUUUUCCAAGCAUUCAUUCGUCUCCACAUCUGUGAAAAAAGUAACCGCCAUCACUGGUGUUUCAAAUAACAACUGGACAGUAAGUUGAAACACUACACUGGAUUUCUAAAAGCCUAGCUCUCGCCUAUGUUACUUAGUGUGAGAGUUGGAUAAGACAUAUGUCUGACAUGGACAUGUGCAAGUUGUUCUUCAUUUUCCCUGUAUUCAGAGUGUUUUUGGAGGGUCACAUCCCCAUACUCGUCUAUGAAAACGUGUCAGACACGGGUUCUCAAGAGAGGUAAAGAGUCAGCACCCCUAAGUGGAACCAGACUAAAAUACUUCUCUUGCAAGAAAAAUAAAACAAGACAAACUCACCACCACUCGAACAAACAGCUGGUUCAGUAGUCUCCUCGAAGCCGGCACAUAUGGCCUUCAAAACAGCACCUUUGGCCAGCUUUCCUGCAUGCAGAUAUGUUAAACGCGGAAAGCACCCAAAAUUUUAUCUGGGAAAUACGGGUAUAAAUACGAACCUCGAUAUUGGCGAUUGUUGACAACAAGUCUAGGCAAUAUGGUAACAUCUCCUCUAGAUCCUUUCCCCGCCUAUGAAAAUGUUUCUAUUAAAUAGCCUCAAAAAGGUCAAAGAAGACAACGAAUUGGAAAAAGAGUAGUGAAACAUAAAAUAUCUUAGCCUGAGAGGACUACUUGAGCAUCUUGUUCUUCUUCCAGAACAGGAUUCUCCAUAUCAGCAUCUGGAUCUCCCAAACACUUUUCGAUCUUUUUAGCGUCAAGCCCUGAAUGGAUGACAAAGGAAUAUCAUCAAUUUAUUACUAGUUUCCAGCAAGAUUUUGAGUUUUCACUGUGCUAUUAAUACUAACAGAAAUUUGAAGAUAAACCGAGGAUCUUCCAAUUAACUGUUUACCAAGAGAUUUGAUAACACCGUCUGCACAUUCCUUAUUAUAUCUUUUCUACUUCAUUGGCCAUCUUAUUUCAAAAUCAGUCACAUAGUCCCACCACACCCAAGGCCUAUUGGUCUCAUUUGCCACUUUGAAAACGCAAAGCUGCCUUAAGGUCUCAAUAACUACAUCUUUCCCUUCAUAACCUGAGCUAAAACCUUGUUCAGGAUCCGGUGCACAGUAUCUUCCGCGGUUGAUGCAUUGAGAUAUGCACUGCCGGCUUAGGGUGAAAGCUUGAGGGCAGUACCAAGUUAUAUAAUGGGGUGUGAACUGCGUAUAGCCACCUUUUUCGAGAAUCUUAGCAGCACCCUUGAAAUCCUUCACAAAUGCCAUCAGCAUAUCGCAUUUAACUCCACAUUCAUCAUUGCUCUUGGUCCAUAACUCGUACUCGUCACGAUCAUCAGGGUUAGAGUUUCACCAGAAGUUUUCUCGAUAAGGGCAGAUGAACUGUCCUCUUCGCGAUUGUCCCUGGUUAUUAAUGCUUCUUCUAUGUCAUCCGCAACAAGCACUGCAGAAGCACUGCUUGCCAUACAUUCCAAAUCUUUAAAGCAAAGAAGCAAUCUGGAGAAAUAAUAAGAAAAAAGGCGCUAAAUGCAGUCUCCGCAAAUAUAUAUAUAUAUCAAAAACUAAAGAAAAAUUACAUCUAAGACCAUAACUCAAUCAAGGACAAUAAGCAAAUUUUACAACCUUGGCAGCAACUGGAGUCCGUAUAUAGGCAACACUUCAGAUUUUUCUCAUCUCUUUAACAGUGUAAUCACAUUAUAGUAAUGUAACUGAAUUAUCUAAUCCGGAAGUAACUAUAAGCCAUUACUACCUAAUGCUUAGAUCAACCAGCAUUCUGAACCUCAUUUUUAUCACCAUACAUCUGUUUGAGAACCAACCAAACUCAAAUCGUACACUCUAAAUCUAUGUUCACUCGGACUCGGGUAUGAGUUUCAAAUGUAGGCACAUGUUUGAGACGGAUAUGUUAGUUUUGGUUUUUCAUGUAUCUGGAGGAUCUUUGAAAAGUCAUGUGUCGCCCAUAUGCAUGUUCGGAUAUUGAGUCUAGAACGGGUACUUCAGACGGAUAUCCAGAGGAUCAUUAACAGCAUAAUCGCGUUGCAGUAAUGUAACUGAAUUAUCUAAUCCGGAGGUAACUAUAAGCCAUUACUACGAAAUGCUUAGAUCACCAUUAUUUUGAAACUCGUUUUUAUUAUCAUCCAUCUGUUUAAGAACCAACCAAACUCAAAUCAUACACUCUAAAUCUCUGUUUACUCCGACUUGGGUAUGAGUUUCAAAUAAAGGUAUGUGUUUGACACUGAUAUAUUCAAUUUUUCUUCAUGUACCUAGGGGAUCUUUGAGAAGACAUAUCACCGCACACAUGUUCAGAUAUUGAGUCCAAAACCGGUACUUCAAGCAAAACUGAGACUCAGAGAAACUUAGCUCUAAACCACUUUAUCCAUACUGGAGAAAACUAUACGCCAUUACUACGAAAUUCUUAGAUAACCAGCAUUUUGAAAUUCAUUUUUAUUAUCAUACAUCUGCCUUGAGAACCAACCCAACCCAAAGCAUAUAUGUUCACUUGGACUCUGGGUGUGAGUUUCAAAUACAGGUAUGUGUUUGACACGGAUAUAUUCAAAUUUUUGUUCAUGUACCUAGAAGGAUCUUUGAAAAAUCAGAUCACCGUACACAUGUUCGGAUAUUGAGUCUAAAACUGGUACUUAAAGCAAAACCAAGAAUCUGAGAAACUUAGCUCUACUUUUGUAGACACCUCUAAGGCUACAUCCCUAUGAAAGGAGGGAAAUGAAGCUAAAUGAAUGGACCUAAUUUCAGAAAACAACUAGUAAGAUAAAAAGAGAGAAAGACAUCCGUCCAAACAACUUAAAGCAAAGCUGAAAACAAGUAAAUUAAUUCAUAAAUGAACGGAUAAAUAUAUAAAUAAUGAUAAUGAAAUCAAUGGAAACUGAUAAACCUAAAUUUAUUUAAAUGAAUUAGUUAAAAUAUAAUAACAUAAAUCCAAGUAGAUGGAAAAACCAAAUCUAUUAACCCUCAAAUCCCAAACUAUCAAAUAGAUUAUUGCCCCAUAAAUAAACCAAAUCCAACAAAUUGAACUUUAAACCUACUAUUUAAAUUCCCCAAUUUGGAAUUACUCAAAUUAGCUAAAACAACACAAAAAUUCCUCAUUGAUCAACCCUACAACAAACAAAUUAUAGCUCAAAUAAACAAAACCAUAGAUUAAUUUUUCUUAGAAGGCGAAAAUUUUGAAAAAAAGAAGAAGAAAAGUGUACCUCCACGAUCGACCAGAACAUAGGUAGGAAGAGAACCAGGCUUGGAUAUAACCGAAAUCCCAAAGUCAUCAAAACCUUUACAAGCUUUUCGGUUUUCUUCAGGGUAAACCACAACACCAGCCAUGCUUCCACCACAUUGAGGUAUCCCAAAGUUCCCAAUCGCACUAUCAUGGGUUGCUUUAAUCUUCUCCGGCGAUGUUACCGCCAAGCUCUUCUUUUCCACCACGAAUCUCGCGUAACAAUUGCGUAUCAAAGAUAAUAAAAUAAACACUUGAGGAAGAUGAUGAUG